GAUGAACGCUGGCGGCGUGCCUAAUACAUGCAAGUAGAACGCUGAAGGAAGGAGCUUGCUCUUUCCGGAUGAGUUGCGAACGGGUGAGUAACGCGUAGGUAACCUGCCUGGUAGCGGGGGAUAACUAUUGGAAACGAUAGCUAAUACCGCAUAACAGUAGAUGUUGCAUGACAACUAUUUGAAAGGGGCAAUUGCUCCACUACCAGAUGGACCUGCGUUGUAUUAGCUAGUUGGUGAGGUAACGGCUCACCAAGGCGACGAUACAUAGCCGACCUGAGAGGGUGAUCGGCCACCAUGGGACUGGGACACGGCCCAGACCCCUACGGGAGGCAGCAGUAGGGAAACCUCGGGAAUGGACGGAAGUCUGAACGGGCAACGCCGCGGGAGUGAAGAAGGGUUUCGGAUCGUAAAGCUCCGUUGUAAGAGAAGAACGAGUGUGAGAGUGGAAAGUUCACACUGUGACGGUAGCUUACCAGAAAGGGACGGCUAACUACGUG
Molecule: ribosomal RNA, 497 nt
Filed under: uncultured bacterium
Lineage: Bacteria
Description: partial 16S ribosomal RNA
Rfam family: Bacterial small subunit ribosomal RNA
Source: RNAcentral